UACGUAGGGACCAAGCGUUGUUCGGAUUUACUGGGCGUAAGGGGCGCGUAGGCGGCGUGACAAGUCACUUGUGAAAUCUCUGAGCUUAACUCAGAACGGCCAAGUGAAACUGUUGUGCUAGAGUGCAGAAGGGGCAAUCGGAAUUCUUGGUGUAGCGGUGAAAUGCGUAGAUAUCAAGAGGAACACCUGAGGUGAAGACGGGUUGCUGGGCUGACACUGACGCUGAGGCGCGAAAGCCAGGGGAGCAAACGGG
Molecule: ribosomal RNA, 253 nt
Filed under: uncultured bacterium
Lineage: Bacteria
Description: partial 16S ribosomal RNA
Rfam family: Bacterial small subunit ribosomal RNA
Source: RNAcentral